GCAGUGGUGAUUCAGUGGGCGAACUCUCACCUUCCACGCGAGAGACCUGGGUUCGAUUCCUGGCCAAUGUA
RNAcentral lists this transfer RNA (71 nucleotides) under Loxodonta africana (African savanna elephant). It matches the Rfam family "tRNA". Rfam says of the family: Transfer RNA (tRNA) molecules are approximately 80 nucleotides in length. Their secondary structure includes four short double-helical elements and three loops (D, anti-codon, and T loops). Lineage: Eukaryota; Metazoa; Chordata; Mammalia; Proboscidea; Elephantidae. The record is from Rfam by way of RNAcentral.